RNAcentral lists this long non-coding RNA (378 nucleotides) under Setaria viridis. RNAcentral describes it as "long non-coding RNA (SVIR_LNC004992)". Lineage: Eukaryota; Viridiplantae; Streptophyta; Magnoliopsida; Poales; Poaceae. The record is from RNAcentral.
AGAAAAUCAAGAAAUACUAAAGAAAAAGGUUUGCACAUAAAAUGGCGACUUUGAACGUGGGUGUUCACACCAGGUAUCUCAUUCUCAUUAAGAUAAACCAUGUUUCACAGUAACUGAAACCAUCACCGUCCAAAAGCAAUGUACGGUGAAUGUUGUGACAGUCUGUUUACAUAAUUUCUUUUGUAAAAUAAAAAAAUUAUGUACCAUUUUAUUUUCUUCUUGUUUUUUGAGGGGGUUUCCUUUUUCUUCUUGUGAGGAUACAACUUAAAAGGAAAUCCUAACACGAUGGUACAAGUAUAACUAGCCCACCACCAGAAUGGCUGUAUGGGUCAUGGUCCAAUAGGUUUGCCGCUUCUACUACGCGGCCUCACCCACCCC